CGCUGGCGAAGGAUUGACCUUAAUUCCCAGCAC
RNAcentral lists this non-coding RNA (33 nucleotides) under unclassified sequences. The record is from RNAcentral.